UUUUAAAUCGUUUUCAUUUAGCGCCAUUUCAGGUCUACAACAGGCUAUAGCUACAGACUUCAGCUCUUCUGCUUCGGAAGCUUCGUACAAUAAACAUUAAUUUUCCCUGGUGAGAGACCUGGACAGUAACAGACUGAGAGCCUCGUCAGGAGGGUUCGGGAGUUCAACAUGGCGGCAGCUAAAUUCCAGAGAUUUGUUGUAAACAGCGCUGUAGUUGGUGGUGUGAUGUUUUGCGGUUGGGUCAUGAUGAAAGCAUUGACCCCUACCAAAGAGCAAAUGAUGGAAAGACUUUCACUUGAUCCAGACGAAUACAUGUCUGCUCAGAAGAAAAGAAAUGCACAGCUAUUUGCUACAAUACAGCAACAUAUUGAUUCUCCUGAUCCAGUGUGGAAAAUCAAGCCUCUGCAGCUUGAAGGACAAUCAAAUUUGAAAGAAGAAAACACAUCAAAUUAGAUCAAUACUAAAUUGUAAUUUGUCUCUCAGGAGAGGUGGAAUAUUGGAUGGGAUGUUCUAAGGAAUAUUUUAACUGUAAAGGAAUAAGUACUAUUAAGUAAAAUGGCAUGCAUUAGUGCUGUGUAAUCAGUAGUAUAUAUAAUCAUUAUAAUGACACAAUCUACAAUAUUUUAUUUAAAAAAGUCCAACCACUUAUUUUACAUAUCUUACAUGAAGUUUUGGUUGUCAUUCAAAAUGGCGGAGGCAAAGCUUGUGUUGAAAGGAGGGGAAACAUUUCAUUUUAAUGAUAAUAGCACUCCCUGCAUGAAAAUGAAAGAUUGCAUAUCCUCAGUCAGUUGUAUUCAAAAAAAGGUGAAUGAAAAACUCACAGAAAUAGUGAACACUGAAAAGAAAGAAAGCAAUGGGAAAACUAACUAUGCAGAUACUAUGAAUGGAUCAGAUGACGAAAAAUGUGAUGAUGAUAGCGAUGAUGAACCGAAUCCAAAAAAGAAGAGAAAGGAAUGAGAUCACUUUCCCAUGAAGGUCAACAAACAAUAAACAUUUGUUGUUUUAUUCACAAAGUCAUACGAAAAGACUGUACAAUUACAAAUAGAAAUUUAACUUUGUUCCUAUGGAAA
Long non-coding RNA from Xenia sp. Carnegie-2017, 1070 nucleotides. RefSeq lists it as uncharacterized. The record is from RefSeq and is a predicted model, not a curated record. NCBI's taxonomy places the organism in Eukaryota, Metazoa, Cnidaria, Anthozoa, Malacalcyonacea, Xeniidae. The transcript is spliced from 3 exons.